UGCGUAGGGGGCAAGCGUUGUCCGGAUUCAUUGGGCGUAAAGAGCGUGUAGGCGGCCAGGUAGGUCGGUUGUGAAAACUGGAGGCUCAACCUUCAGAGGUCGACCGAAACCAUCUGGCUAGAGUCCGGGAGAGGAGAGUGGAAUUCCUGGUGUAGCGGUGAAAUGCGCAGAUAUCAGGAAGAACACCCGUGGCGAAAGCGGCUCUCUGGAACGGUACUGACGCUGAGACGCGAAAGCUAGGGGAGCGAACGGG
This 253-nucleotide ribosomal RNA is filed under the name uncultured bacterium. RNAcentral's name for it is "partial 16S ribosomal RNA". It matches the Rfam family "Bacterial small subunit ribosomal RNA", at positions 524 to 776 of the family's 1533-position model. The record is from RNAcentral.